AUUGCCCUAGUAACGGCGAGUGAAGCGGCAACAGCUCAAAUUUGAAAUCUGGCUUCGGCCCGAGUUGUAAUUUGUAGAGGAAGCUUUAGGCGCGGCACCUUCUGAGUCCCCUGGAACGGGGCGCCACAGAGGGUGAGAGCCCCGUAUAGUUGGAUGCCUAGCCUGUGUAAAGCUCCUUCGACGAGUCGAGUAGUUUGGGAAUGCUGCUCAAAAUGGGAGGUAAAUUUCUUCUAAAGCUAAAUACCGGCCAGAGACCGAUAGCGCACAAGUAGAGUGAUCGAAAGAUGAAAAGCACUUUGAAAAGAGGGUUAAAUAGCACGUGAAAUUGUUGAAAGGGAAGCGCUUGUGACCAGACUUGCGCCGGGCGGAUCAUCCGGUGUUCUCACCGGUGCACUCCGCCCGGCUCAGGCCAGCAUCGGUUCUCGCGGGGGGAUAAAGGCCCCGGGAACGUAGCUCCUCCGGGAGUGUUAUAGCCCGGGGCGUAAUGCCCUCGCGGGGACCGAGGACCGCGCAUCUGCAAGGAUG
RNAcentral lists this ribosomal RNA (525 nucleotides) under Melanocarpus oblatus. Its description in RNAcentral is "partial large subunit ribosomal RNA". It matches the Rfam family "Eukaryotic large subunit ribosomal RNA", at positions 74 to 625 of the family's 3401-position model. Lineage: Eukaryota; Fungi; Ascomycota; Sordariomycetes; Sordariales; Chaetomiaceae. The record is from RNAcentral.